CGCACAUUGCGCCCCUCAGUAUUCUGGAGGGCAUACCUGUUCGAGCGUCAUUAUCAACCAUCAAGCUAGGCUUGCUAUUGGGUUCUGAUCGUUAAGAGAUCGGCCUUAAAGAUAGAUGACGGUGUGAGGUUGGACACCUGAUGCAACGAGCUUUACAGCACGCAUCGGUUAGAGGCUUUACUCCAGUUUAACCGUAACUUUUUUAGACGUUGACCUCGGAUCAGGUAGGAUUACCCGCUGAACUUAA
RNAcentral lists this unclassified non-coding RNA (247 nucleotides) under Pyrenula nitidella. Its description in RNAcentral is "partial contains 5.8S ribosomal RNA, internal transcribed spacer 2, and large subunit ribosomal RNA". The record is from RNAcentral. Lineage: Eukaryota; Fungi; Ascomycota; Eurotiomycetes; Pyrenulales; Pyrenulaceae.